Molecule: ribosomal RNA, 354 nt
Filed under: uncultured bacterium
Lineage: Bacteria
Description: bacterial SSU rRNA
Rfam family: Bacterial small subunit ribosomal RNA
Source: RNAcentral
ACAGAUCGUUCAGAGUUUGAUCCUGGCUCAGGAUGAACGCUGGCGGCGUGCCUAACACAUGCAAGUCGAACGAAGCACUUUUCUUGAAUCUACGGAGGACAGAGUUGUGACUGAGUGGCGGACGGGUGAGUAACGCGUGGGUAACCUGCCCUGUACAGGGGGAUAACAGUUAGAAAUGACUGCUAAUACCGCAUAAGCGCACGAGGUAGCAUUACAUUGUGUAGAAAAACUCCGGUGGUACAGGAUGGGCCCGCGUCUGAUUAGCUUGUUGGCGGGGUAAGAGCCCACCAAGGCGACGAUCAGUAGCCGGUCUGAGAGGAUGAACGGCCACAUUGGAACUGAGACACGGUCCAA